GGGUUCAUGGCCUAAUGGUAAGGCGUCAGAUUUCGGUUCACAUACUGAUUCUCUGAAGAUUGCAGGUUCGAUCCCUGCUGAGCUCG
Molecule: transfer RNA, 86 nt
Filed under: Hypomontagnella monticulosa
Lineage: Eukaryota; Fungi; Ascomycota; Sordariomycetes; Xylariales; Hypoxylaceae
Description: tRNA-Arg
Rfam family: tRNA
About the family: Transfer RNA (tRNA) molecules are approximately 80 nucleotides in length. Their secondary structure includes four short double-helical elements and three loops (D, anti-codon, and T loops).
Source: RNAcentral